UGCCAGCAGCCGCGGUAAUACGGAGGGUGCGAGCGUUGUUCGGAAUCAUUGGGCGUAAAGCGCGUGUAGGCGGCCAAUUAAGUCUGAUGUGAAAUCCCGGGGCUUAACCCCGGAAGUGCAUUGGAUACUGGCUGGCUAGAGGGCGAGAGAGGGAAGUGGAAUUCCUGGUGUAGGGGUGAAAUCCGUAGAUAUCAGGAGGAACAUCUGUGGCGAAGGCGGCUUCCUGGCUCGUUACUGACGCUGAGACGCGAAAGCGUGGGGAGCGAACAGGAUUAGAUA
Molecule: ribosomal RNA, 279 nt
Filed under: uncultured bacterium
Lineage: Bacteria
Description: partial 16S ribosomal RNA
Rfam family: Bacterial small subunit ribosomal RNA
Source: RNAcentral